ACGCGAUGUAUCUGCGGGAGUUUUCCGCCCCCGAGUACAAACUGUACGAUUCGGUGUCGGACUCGUUUGUGAAGAUUGGCGAAGGAAAGUCAAUUCCGGGGACCGACCAUAAGCUGCAGCUGAAUAACCUUUCUCCAGAGACGGUAUAUGAAGUUAAGAUGCGCGCCAGCA
RNAcentral lists this non-coding RNA (171 nucleotides) under Chloroparvula japonica. Lineage: Eukaryota; Viridiplantae; Chlorophyta; Chloropicophyceae; Chloropicales; Chloropicaceae. The record is from RNAcentral.